GCGCGGGUGGUGUAAGGCGUAGCAUCGCUGCUCGUAAAGCAGGAGGUUCGAGUUCGACUCCCGCCUGGCGCG
Non-coding RNA from Heligmosomoides polygyrus, 72 nucleotides. The record is from Rfam. NCBI's taxonomy places the organism in Eukaryota, Metazoa, Nematoda, Chromadorea, Rhabditida, Heligmosomidae.